AUACAGAGGGUGCAAGCGUUAUUCGGAAUUACUGGGCGUAAAGCGCGCGUAGGCGGAUGAUUAAGUCAGUUGUGAAAGCCCUGGGCUCAACCUAGGAACUGCAUCUGAUACUGGUCGUCUAGAGUUUAAGAGAGGGAAGUGGAAUUCCAGGUGUAGCAGUGAAAUGCGUAGAUAUCUGGAGGAACAUCAGUGGCGAAGGCGACUUCCUGGCUUAAAACUGACGCUGAGGUGCGAAAGCGUGGGUAGCGAACGGGAUUAGAUACCCCAGUAGUCC
This 274-nucleotide ribosomal RNA is filed under the name uncultured bacterium. RNAcentral describes it as "partial 16S ribosomal RNA". It matches the Rfam family "Bacterial small subunit ribosomal RNA", at positions 523 to 796 of the family's 1533-position model. The record is from RNAcentral.